This 3133-nucleotide long non-coding RNA is filed under the name Homo sapiens (human). RNAcentral's name for it is "non-protein coding LINC02551:12". Lineage: Eukaryota; Metazoa; Chordata; Mammalia; Primates; Hominidae. The record is from RNAcentral.
UUAUGAUGUGGGUUCUCAUAAAAAUUUCACUCCCCCCAAAGCCACCCAAAGGAAAGGCAGUGAAAUGGGGAGGAACACACAUUUGCCUGGCAUCGCAAGAGCUGCCUUGUAGUCAUGGGUUCCAGUGAUCUUGGACCGAUCUCUUCACUUCCCUGGACCUCAGUUUCUUCCAUACAAAGAAGUUGAACUGGAUCAUAGAAAAGAUGCUGUCCAGCUUGGUAAUAUCAGAUAGGGAGCAGAAGCUGUCUCUUAGCACAUGGCCAGAUUCCGGAACAACGAUGAUGGUCUCCAUGUUUGUCCUAAAAAUGCAUCUCAUCUCAGUAGAGAUUUUCUUCCACCUCAUUUGGGUCUCAAUUUAAGGAAGGAAGAAAGGAAAGAAACCCGGGGAUUCUCUUCUUGAAAGGAAUAUACUUCACUUUCUCUAGGCUUCUAGGAUAAAAACUUCCUAUCCUUCAUUUUUCCUCUUUAAACCUGCCAAAAUCAAGUUGAGUAAAGAUACCAUACAGAUAUGAAAAAGAAGCCACAUCCUUAAAUUUUCAUGGAGUCCAAGAGCCUGCUCACCGCCAGUUAGCUUUUCCCAGGAUGGUGGUGGCACUGAUCAUCUAGGUUGCACUUUUAUGUUCAUGUCCCAGAGCGUUUCCCAUCAGCCAUCUCAUUUCAUCUUUUCAUCAUUCCUCUGAGGAAAAGACUUCACACAUGUAUAGGACUUUCUAUAUCACAAAGUAUUUCAUAUCCAAUGUCUUAUUUAGAUCUUGACAAUCACUGUUUAAGGUAAUUUGGCAAGUUAUUAAUACUCAUGUCCUCAUUUUACUGAAGAGGAAACUGAAAUGCAGAGAGCUUGUCUUUUGCCCAGGAUCACUCACCCAGUUUAUUGGGAGGCAGCAGCACGGGGAUUAAGAACAUGGGUUAUGCCGACAACCAACCAGGCAGAAUUCCAGCUCUGUCAGUAGUUAGCUGUCUGGCCUUAGGAAAGGGAUUUCACACCUCUGUGGCUUAGUUUCCUUGUCCAUUAAAUGCUCAUAAGAAUAGAGCUUUCCUCACAGAGAUUGGGUGGGCACGGGAGCUAAAUGAGCUCAUACGUUUAAGAACAACCUCUAGCACACAGUGCAUAAUAAAUGUCAUUAUUAUUAGCAAAGCCAGGACCUGGGUCUUCCAGCUUCUAGCUCAGUGGCAUUUCUGCUGCCCCACACCAGGACUAUCCUUCGUAUACAGGUAUGAACCUAAAGCCUUCAGUGUUUCAAUGAAAAGUUCACCCAAGGUCUUUCUGUUCAGUAAGUCUAGAGCUAAGGGCUCCUGGCACUCUGUUCAGUCCUUUCGCUGGUAAACCACGCUGCCCUCCGUUGCUCUGGGCAGAAUGUCAAACCUUCUUAUGUUUUUAAAAUUUAUAAAUCAAGCACUCUUAUUUAAUAUUACUGACAGCCCGAAGGCAGACGCUCCCACUCUCCUGGGGAAGAGGGUCUUCUAAUCUGCCAUCUUAAGGAGGUAAAAGGGCUUGAUUGGGUAACUCAUUGCAAUGGGCACGUAUUUAUUACUGUCUCCCGGCCUUUUCUCAUGCUGUUUGUCUGCUGGAAUUACCACUAGUGCCAGGCCAUUUGAAUAUUUGACCAUUUGUCUUAGAAUUCUCUGAAUACAAAUGUUUUUCAUACCUUUACUAUGUACUUUUUAAGAAUGAAGACUAUGUUGCAUGUUGGUUUGUACUCUCUCCUGCACAUAAAAAAUGCUUAGUAAAUAGAUACACAAAUGUUUCUUGAUUCCUAAAUUGAUUGACUGUUCGGGGAACUAAUGGUCACUUCUAAGUGGUUGACAGUUGUCUCUUCCCACCUCUUAGUCGCAAGUUUCAGAUGAUCAAAGAAUGCCUAGGUGGCAUUCAACAGUAUAUGCCUCCGUAAAGGUAGAAGGUUUAGGAGUCGUAUGUGCAAGAGUGGAAGAAGUUCUCCCUGCACACACAGGAGGCCAUCUGCUACAAAGCCUCAGAACCUGGCCUCUGCCCUGUCAGCCUGCAUGCUGCGUGCAUGGAAAAACAGGCCUGAGCCAGGGCUUACCCUGUCACCCAAAGUCCACUCCAUGUAGUAUGCCCGAAGCAAACAUGACCUUGUUCUACAGUUAAAAACAAAUGAAAGUCAUCUGCCGGGGUCACUUGGUAAUAAAGUCCUGCGACAGAAGGGGCUCUGCUUAAAGGGCAGCUCAGAUCCAGGCAUUAAAAUAACCUAAAUGGUGUCGUUUUCUGAUCAAAUUCCUUUCCCUGUCGGGUUUGUGAUUUUUGAGCCUGAGAAUGUCCCUCGCGGCUCAGGUUUCUCUGCUGUCACACUGAUCUCAGGCCUGGAAUGCAAGCACUGGCCAUUGAGGUCUGAUGUAACUAUGUCACAAUCCCAAAAUGGAGAGACAUUAUCUCAUAGAUGGUGCAGCAGGCGGGCACCAGUGUGCGGCUGGCAGGCACGGCUGAGAAUGCAGUCCUGGGCAUAUUCCACAUCCACAGUUCUCAGUGGACACAGGGUCUGAUGCCCGAGGCUCCAAGCCGUGCUCCAGGAAGUGUAUUUCAAGUUGAGCUCACGUUCCCAAGAUGCUGAGAUUCUUAUGUAGCUGACACCGGAGCUGAGGCUGAGCCCCAGCCAGGGAUAUCCAACGAUUGCCAGUAACACCACGGAACUGAGUGAAGAUUCAGGGGCUGAGUGUGUUCCUGAGUGCUUCAAACCGGGGGACCUGGAAACCAGAGGACUCCUGGGGAAAGGCUGUCAACUCCAGCCUGCUCUUCCUAAAUGGCCUUGUUAGUAGUGACUUCAGCCCUGGCGGUGAGGCAUGUGGGUCAGAAUAACAUUCCCUUUCUUUUCCCUUCACCUCUUUUUUCUCCACGGUUCCUUUUCAUAACUUCUUUAUUUGCUGCCUAGAGGAGCUUUCUGGACAUUUUGUCUCCAGGGAGCGUGACAUGUCACCUGUUUCUCACCUCAUAUGCCUCUGAUCUUCUACACCAAGGUAGCUAUAAAGGCUUGCUUUCUAGGCUGGGUUUCCCUGCACAGGCCCACUGAACCACUCAAACCUCAGAGGUGGAAGUGCCCAGCGGGCCUCAUGGUCAGCUGGGGAUAACGGAGUCAUUUUCGCAGCCCAACUUCUGAAAUUCCACAAGAGGGCGCCCAAG